GGACAUCCAAGAUUGGUGUGGCCUAGAGGCUUGGGCUCGCUGAGGCAGCAGGCCAGCUAUGAAACAGCUGGUGUCAAUGAUGCGGAUGGCUGAAGUUUCAUUUGGAGAACAGCAGUUGGUAUAAAAACUCUUCUGCUGCUUGCAUUUAAAAUACCCCAUACAGACACAUACCAUGGAGAGGAUGGCAAGGCUGAAAUUUUCCAACAUGGUACUUAAACCUAAGUUUAAGGACCAGAUGAGCUUGGAUUGCACCUGACCAUUUUUUUUCAAUUAAAUUUUUCUCUGUUACAUGUA
Molecule: long non-coding RNA, 294 nt
Organism: Neofelis nebulosa (Clouded leopard)
Lineage: Eukaryota; Metazoa; Chordata; Mammalia; Carnivora; Felidae
Exons: 2
Source: RefSeq, a predicted model, not a curated record